GUGAUCCUUUGCACAUUCAUGGAGGCCCAAUUACAAGAGCAAGAGCCAAAAAGAUGCAAGCUGCUUUAAAUGGAUUAAUUGAGAAAAUAUGGAUUGAAAAUGUAAUUCAAGAUGCAAGACAUCAUGAAUUGGUCUUGAAGAGAAGACAAGGCAUUGUGGGCAUUAUUCAAGUCAUUGGGCAGCCAAAUACACAAGUUGUAUCAAAUGCAGAAAGGUCAAAUUCGGAAUAAAAACUGUAUUGAUUGAGCCAGAAUUAAAAUGCAAGCUAUAUACCGUUGGAAAGAUAAUUAAGUUAGCUUUCCAAUAAAUUUUACAGAGCUGGAUUUGGAGUUCUCUAGAAGGAGUUAUGACCAAUUCUUUACAGCUUGUUCAGACUUGGGAUUUUCAACGAAUCCUUUGUUUUUCAACUUAUUUGUUUGUUUUGUUUCAAGCUUG
This 435-nucleotide long non-coding RNA is filed under the name Citrus sinensis (sweet orange). RNAcentral's name for it is "long non-coding RNA (CSIN_LNC003172)". The record is from RNAcentral. Lineage: Eukaryota; Viridiplantae; Streptophyta; Magnoliopsida; Sapindales; Rutaceae.